CUCAGCAUGGCUGCAGUGGAAUCCAAAGAAGGAGCUGCAGCUCUUCUUCACACUGCACAGGAUGCUUAGGACUGUACACCUGCAACCUGACCCUGGGAACGUGCCAGCUGAAGGGCCUGUCGCAACAAAAAGAUAAAUUCCUCCAGACCUUGAGGGAUUUCUAAUCUCCACCUUGUGCUCCAAUGUGCAGUAUAUUAUAUUUUCACUAACAAAGACCACACCUGCGAAGAUAGGUAAAGAUGAAGGUAACUCACUGUGGCCUGCAGGAGAUUUCUCCGGAACUCAAAGCUCUCAAUACAUCUUACAGUGACCUAUAUCGUCCCUGACAUUUCAUUGAAACCACUGAAAAUCAUUGAUUUGGCUAACAAUCUGAACAACAGCUAUCAAAUUCCAACAUCAUUUCAGAACCUAACAAAUCUGUAUGUGCUAUAACAUAUAUUAUCUUUGCAUAAUCUGGUUUUGGGAGCAGGAAUUCACUGGCAAAAGUGUGAUCAUGGUGCUCUUGUAAAAAGGUCUCUGAACCUCAGCUUCAACUCCAUCUACGUGGACAGGGACUGCUCUUGGCCUAUUCACCUGGCUGAGCUCAGCCUGGGAGAUAACAACCCGAGCAACAGCAAUACCUGUGGUCCAACGUUGAGAACACUGACUUGUCAAAGAUGGGAAUAACAGCCAUAAUGCAUGAGGAUCUGUCUCAGUUUCACAAGCUGACACGCCUCCAACUCGGCUCCAACAGCAGAUCUCACCACCCCAACUCUGCUCAGUCUCUGCAUAGACCAGAACGUCAUCCCAUGGAUAUCCAGGGAGGUCUUGGCAGGACUUCCCAGGCUUCCUGCCCUCAGUGCUGGAAGAAGUGCAUUCGUCUGCUCAUGUGACUCCUAUUGGUUUGUUACUGUUGUCAACAGAGCUGUAAAGAGAGUCCCUUUUAUAAUGUAGAAAUAGAGUAAAAUAGAAAUAUUCAGAUUUCGGCAGUGUCCAUUAUUUCAAUAAUAUAAAAUGUCUUUACCCAGAAGAGAAAUACUUAAUUUGUUCUGUUUUAUGAUCAUGUGUUUGUGUCCUCUGUUUACAAUUUAAGCACAAGUCUCUAUCUACUGCUUGUAAUGACACUGCAGCACACAACUGUGUGAAGGAAUGACUUAGAAUGAGGCUGUAUAGCACAUAUACAUUUUUCUUUUUUCGAUUAAAUCACUUAAAAUCUAAAUCCAUGUGUUAAAGCUCUACUCUAAUAAACAAUCACACACAGUA
Molecule: long non-coding RNA, 1242 nt
Organism: Micropterus dolomieu (smallmouth bass)
Lineage: Eukaryota; Metazoa; Chordata; Actinopteri; Centrarchiformes; Centrarchidae
Exons: 2
Source: RefSeq, a predicted model, not a curated record